UGACAAACAUAAGAGGUCCAGCCUGCCCAGUGACAAAGUUCAACGGCCGCGGUACCCUAACCGUGCGAAGGUAGCAUAAUCACUUGUUCUUUAAAUGAGGACUUGUAUCAACGGCACUACGAGGGCUAUACUGUCUCCUUUUUCUAAUCAGUGAAACUGAUCUCCCCGUGAAGAAGCGGGGAUUGAGAUAUAAGACGAGAAGACCCCAUGGAGCUUUAAACUCACCAUGCACCUCUGUGCUCCUAUACCCCUAAACACAACAGACCUGCAUGUUAGUUUUAGGUUGGGGUGACCACGGAGUACAAUUCAACCUCCAUAGCAAAUGGGCUAAAACCCUUAUCCACGAGACACACCUCUAAGAAUUACUAAACUAAUGCUUACGACCCGAUAUUCGAUCAAUGAACCAAGUUACCCUGGGGAUAACAGCGCAAUCUACUUCAAGAGCCCAUAUCGACAAGUAGGU
This 463-nucleotide ribosomal RNA is filed under the name Rana ornativentris. RNAcentral describes it as "partial 16S ribosomal RNA". It matches the Rfam family "Bacterial large subunit ribosomal RNA", at positions 1837 to 2517 of the family's 2925-position model. The record is from RNAcentral. Lineage: Eukaryota; Metazoa; Chordata; Amphibia; Anura; Ranidae.